This 450-nucleotide ribosomal RNA is filed under the name uncultured Sphingobacteriales bacterium. Its description in RNAcentral is "bacterial SSU rRNA". It matches the Rfam family "Bacterial small subunit ribosomal RNA", at positions 930 to 1382 of the family's 1533-position model. Lineage: Bacteria; Pseudomonadati; Bacteroidota; Sphingobacteriia; Sphingobacteriales. The record is from RNAcentral.
CGGUGGAGCAUGUGGUUUAAUUCGAUGAUACGCGAGGAACCUUACCUGGGCUCAAAUGUAUGUUGACGUAUUCUGAAAGGGAUACUUCUUCGGACAAUAUACAAGGUGCUGCAUGGUUGUCGUCAGCUCGUGCCGUGAGGUGUCGGGUUAAGUCCCAUAACGAGCGCAACCCCUAUCAUUAGUUGCCAUCAGGUCAAGCUGGGGACUCUAAUGAAACUGCCUACGCAAGUAGUGAGGAAGGUGGGGAUGACGUCAAAUCAGCACGGCCCUUACGUCCAGGGCUACACACGUGCUACAAUGGCCGGUACAAAGGGCAGCUACCUGGUGACAGGAUGCUAAUCUCAAAAGCCGGUCUCAGUUCGGAUCGGAGUCUGCAACCCGACUCCGUGAAGUUGGAUUCGCUAGUAAUCGCGCAUCAGCCAUGGCGCGGUGAAUACGUUCCCGGGCCUU